UGGGUAAUAUUGGACAAUGGGCGAAAGCCUGAUCCAGCCAUGCCGCGUGUGUGAAGAAGGUCUUCGGAUUGUAAAGCACUUUAAGUUGGGAGGAAGGGCAGUAAGCGAAUACCUUGCUGUUUUUACGUUACCGACAGAAUAAGCACCGGCUAACUCUGUGCCAGCAGCCGCGGUAAUACAGAGGGUGCAAGCGUUAAUCGGAAUUACUGGGCGUAAAGCGCGCGUAGGUGGUUCGUUAAGUUGAAUGUAAAAGCGCCGGGCUCAACCUGGGAACUGCAUCCAAAACUGGCGAGCUAGAGUAGGGCAGAGGGUGGUGGAAUUUCCUGUGUAGCGGUGAAAUGCGUAGAUAUAGGAAGGAACACCAGUGGCGAAGGCGACCACCUGGGCUCAGACUGACACUGAGGUGCGAAAGCGUGGGGAGCAAACAGG
RNAcentral lists this ribosomal RNA (429 nucleotides) under Pseudomonadota bacterium. Its description in RNAcentral is "Proteobacteria bacterium partial 16S ribosomal RNA". It matches the Rfam family "Bacterial small subunit ribosomal RNA", at positions 355 to 776 of the family's 1533-position model. The record is from RNAcentral. Lineage: Bacteria; Pseudomonadati; Pseudomonadota.